RNAcentral lists this transfer RNA (85 nucleotides) under Felis catus (domestic cat). It matches the Rfam family "tRNA". Rfam says of the family: Transfer RNA (tRNA) molecules are approximately 80 nucleotides in length. Their secondary structure includes four short double-helical elements and three loops (D, anti-codon, and T loops). Lineage: Eukaryota; Metazoa; Chordata; Mammalia; Carnivora; Felidae. The record is from Rfam by way of RNAcentral.
GCCUGGGUGGCUCAGUUGGUUGAGCAUCUGACUUCGGCUCAGGUCAGGAUCUCAUGGCCAGUGGGUUCAAGCCCCGCGUCGGGCU